This is a non-coding RNA of Lupinus albus (white lupine), 670 nucleotides long. Lineage: Eukaryota; Viridiplantae; Streptophyta; Magnoliopsida; Fabales; Fabaceae. The record is from the annotation of a GenBank genome assembly.
GUUACCCAUACUAUCUACCAAAACAAGAUUAAAUCCCUAAUUCAUUUUCCUCCAACGGCAGUCAUGGAGAAAAUUAAUCAAGCUGGAGCGGUGAGGGGGACUUCUUCUACGGCGAGGCUAUGGCAACUCGGUGACGGUGCAGCUUCGUGGUCGUUGCCGAGAGCAAGGUGACUUUGGUUUGAGAUGCAAAGGGAGCGUUAGUAGCGAUUCCUCACCAAUGAAGAGGUGGUGAUGCCUUAUUGGUGGCGGCACCGCUAUAGAUCCUCCAGAAACCCCUGGCUUUACAGUACGUAGAGGCUUAUGUAUCCAUUAUCGUUCAUGGCAAAUGAAGAAUAUCUAGUGGAACGGGAACGGGUGCUGCUGGUCUCUCUCAGCAUUAUCACUGUUUUGGGAUACGUUGUACUUUAAUUGGGGUUGAAUCCCAUCUUUGCAUCAUCACCAACGUUAUAUGGCAGCUGCUCAAUAAGAAACUCCAAUGUUAAAGUGUCAUCACAAUCCAUUUCAAUGUCUCAUGGCUUCUGGAUCAUAUAGCUUCUCUUGUAUAGAUUGGGUUACAACAUUUAGGCACUUUUUGUAAUUAUAUAUAUCUUAUAUUAAAGAUGAAAUGGUGUAUCAACUGUAUUUGGAUCAUUUUGAAACGAAAUGAAACGAUAAUUACAUUAAAGAAAAU